Molecule: transfer RNA, 91 nt
Filed under: Bacteroidota bacterium
Lineage: Bacteria; Pseudomonadati; Bacteroidota
Description: Bacteroidetes bacterium tRNA-Ser
Rfam family: tRNA
About the family: Transfer RNA (tRNA) molecules are approximately 80 nucleotides in length. Their secondary structure includes four short double-helical elements and three loops (D, anti-codon, and T loops). Further hydrogen bonds mediate the characteristic L-shaped molecular structure. tRNAs have two regions of fundamental functional importance: the anti-codon, which is responsible for specific mRNA codon recognition, and the 3' end, to which the tRNAs corresponding amino acid is attached (by aminoacyl-tRNA synthetases). tRNAs cope with the degeneracy of the genetic code in two manners: having more than one tRNA (with a specific anti-codon) for a particular amino acid; and 'wobble' base-pairing, i.e. permitting non-standard base-pairing at the 3rd anti-codon position.
Source: RNAcentral
GGAGAGGUGGGUGAGUGGCUUAAACCAGUAGUUUGCUAAACUGCCGUACCCAUACCGGGUACCGAGGGUUCGAAUCCCUCCCUCUCCGCCA